RNAcentral lists this ribosomal RNA (253 nucleotides) under uncultured Oscillospira sp. Its description in RNAcentral is "partial 16S ribosomal RNA". It matches the Rfam family "Bacterial small subunit ribosomal RNA", at positions 524 to 776 of the family's 1533-position model. The record is from RNAcentral. Lineage: Bacteria; Bacillati; Bacillota; Clostridia; Eubacteriales; Oscillospiraceae.
UACGUAGGUGGCAAGCGUUAUCCGGAUUUACUGGGUGUAAAGGGCGUGUAGGCGGGAUGGUAAGUCAGAUGUGAAAACUAUGGGCUCAACCCAUAGCCUGCAUUUGAAACUAUCGUUCUUGAGUGUUGGAGAGGCAGGCGGAAUUCCGUGUGUAGCGGUGAAAUGCUUAGAUAUCACGAAGAACUCCGAUUGCGAAGGCAGCUCACUGGACUGCAACUGACACUGAGGCUCGAAAGUGUGGGUAUCAAACAGG